GCCCGAUGGGGGCCAGGGCCCCCCCCACUCCUCCGUGUGACCAGCGGCCGACUUCCUGUCCAUACCCACAGAGGGAUCUGACGGGUUUCCUGGAAAGGAGCUUCCGCAGCAAUAGCAGCAACACCCUGACCCAGCCGGUCCUCUCUGAUGAGUCGUUGCCCGUUAGGGGUGCCACAAGGACACCCUCGCGUUGGCUCUGCUGCCUCACGUCAGCCUCUGCAAGAUACACCCCUGUGGCAAGACCCAGCCGGGCAGCAAACCCGAAUUCCUGAGGCGCCUGGGGCUCAGUCUGGGGAGUUACACGAGCAUUGGCCUGGUUUUUCUUCACUGUGUGGAGGAGGAGCCGGUGGGGACAGACGUGAACUCCAAGUGCAGGCAAACCGAUUGUUAAGUGGACUGGGUGUGAAUGGGUCCAUUCACCCAAACCAGCCAGAGCCCAGGCCUUCCCAGCAGGACGAAACACGCAUGCGCUUCCUGUAGCCUCGCUGAAGCCCAGGGCAUCCAAAGCGCACAAAGGCCGCUCAGCUGUUCUGAAACUUGAAGCCUAUAGAAAAAAGAGCAAAUAACUCUGGCCUUUCCAGUGCCGAUGUCCAAAGAGAAAUACUAAAAAAAAAAAAAGGGGGGGGCAACAUUGUAGAGGGGGAAACACAAGGUAACAUUUCAGAAUUAGGUUUUGGAGUAAAGCAUGUUCAAGUUCUAGGUCAUGCCCUGUGUGAUCACGGGCAAGGCGUUUCACAAA
This is a long non-coding RNA of Hyaena hyaena (striped hyena), 739 nucleotides long. RefSeq lists it as uncharacterized. NCBI's taxonomy places the organism in Eukaryota, Metazoa, Chordata, Mammalia, Carnivora, Hyaenidae. The record is from RefSeq and is a predicted model, not a curated record. The transcript is spliced from 3 exons.